This 253-nucleotide ribosomal RNA is filed under the name uncultured bacterium. Its description in RNAcentral is "partial 16S ribosomal RNA". It matches the Rfam family "Bacterial small subunit ribosomal RNA", at positions 524 to 776 of the family's 1533-position model. The record is from RNAcentral.
UACGAAGGGGGCUAGCGUUGUUCGGAAUGACUGGGCGUAAAGCGCGCGUAGGCGGAUCGGUAAGUCGGGUGUGAAAUCCCGGGGCUCAACCCCGGAAUGGCCUUCGAAACUCCCGGUCUCGAGUUCGAGAGAGGUGGGUGGAAUUCCGAGUGUAGAGGUGAAAUUCGUAGAUAUUCGGAGGAACACCUGUGGCGAAGGCGGCCCACUGGCUCGACACUGACGCUGAGGCGCGAAAGCGUGGGGAGCAAACAGG